GGGGGCGUAGCUCAGUUGGUAGAGCGUUCGCUUUGCAUGUGAAAGUCCCGGGUUCAAGCCCCGGCGCCUCCA
RNAcentral lists this transfer RNA (72 nucleotides) under Schistocerca americana (American grasshopper). Its description in RNAcentral is "tRNA-Ala". It matches the Rfam family "tRNA". From Rfam's summary of the family: Transfer RNA (tRNA) molecules are approximately 80 nucleotides in length. Their secondary structure includes four short double-helical elements and three loops (D, anti-codon, and T loops). Lineage: Eukaryota; Metazoa; Arthropoda; Insecta; Orthoptera; Acrididae. The record is from RNAcentral.